UUUAUUAUAAUUUCUUAAUUUUCAGAGAUAAAUUGGUCAAAAGUUUAAUGAAAAAGUUGGAAAAGUGCUUCAUCCGUGACAAGUGCCUCAAAAAGAAUAAAAUUCUUUAAAAAUGUCUAAACGUGUCAAAUUCCCUUAUUUUUAACCGCCAUAGAAAGUGAGUUCAUGCUUGUUAAAACAAA
RNAcentral lists this small RNA (182 nucleotides) under Arabidopsis thaliana (thale cress). RNAcentral describes it as "ATSL289300". The record is from RNAcentral. Lineage: Eukaryota; Viridiplantae; Streptophyta; Magnoliopsida; Brassicales; Brassicaceae.